RNAcentral lists this unclassified non-coding RNA (419 nucleotides) under soil metagenome. RNAcentral describes it as "partial contains 5.8S ribosomal RNA, internal transcribed spacer 2, and large subunit ribosomal RNA". The stretch from base 1 to 121 matches the Rfam family "5.8S ribosomal RNA", at positions 35 to 154 of the family's 154-position model. The record is from RNAcentral.
GAUGAAGAACGUAGCGAAAUGCGAUAAUUAAUGUGAAUUGCAGAAUUCAGUGAAUCAUCGAGUCUUUGAACGCACAUUGCGCCUUAUGGCUAUUCUGUAAGGCAUGCCUGUCUGAGCGUCAGCAAAAACCUCAAGGUAGUAUGAUGGCUUUUUUUUUUACAUAAAAAGCCUCUUAUCUUGGAUCUUGUCAAGAGAGUGAACUCUUUUGUAGAGUUUACUUCUUGGAAAAUGAUAGAUGGUCAGAAGUAUUGCUUUUAACCAAAUGUGAUAAGAAUUAUUCAUUUGAAAGUUUAUUGAAUACUUUUUGAUCAAAUCUUGAGAAAAAAAAGAAAAAAAAGCUUUAUGGCUUUUUUUGAUUUACUUGACCUCAGAUCAGGUAGGGAUACCCGCUGAACUUAAGCAUAUCAAUAAGCGGAGGA